Molecule: ribosomal RNA, 502 nt
Filed under: uncultured bacterium
Lineage: Bacteria
Description: partial 16S ribosomal RNA
Rfam family: Bacterial small subunit ribosomal RNA
Source: RNAcentral
GACGAACGCUGGCGGCGUGCCUAAUACAUGCAAGUCGAACGAACCGCGACUAGGUGCUUGCACUUGGUCAAGGUGAGUGGCGAACGGGUGAGUAACACGUGGGUAACCUACCUCAUAGUGGGGGAUAACAGUCGGAAACGACUGCUAAUACCGCAUAGGACAUAGGAUCACAUGAUCCAGUGAGGAAAGGUGGCGCAAGCUAUCGCUAAGAGAUGGACCCGCGGGGCAUUAGCUAGUUGGUAGGGUAAAGGCCUACCAAGGCGAUGAUGCAUAGCCGACCUGAGAGGGUGGCCGGCCACAUUGGGACUGAGACACGGCCCAAACUCCUACGGGAGGCAGCAGUAGGGAAUCUUCCGCAAUGGACGCAAGUCUGACGGAGCAACGCCGCGUGAGUGAAGAAGGUCUUCGGAUCGUAAAGCUCUGUUGUUAGAGAAGAACAGCGCAUAGAGUAACUGUUAUGCGUGUGACGGUAUCUAACCAGAAAGCCACGGCUAACUACGUG